Molecule: long non-coding RNA, 570 nt
Filed under: Vitis vinifera (wine grape)
Lineage: Eukaryota; Viridiplantae; Streptophyta; Magnoliopsida; Vitales; Vitaceae
Description: long non-coding RNA (VVIN_LNC007522)
Source: RNAcentral
UGAGUUUUGGUCUGCUUUAUGAUGAUGGGUUUGGAUGUUUUGUCAUUGGGUGUGCUUGGUUUGAGUAGAUCUGAGGAUUUCUUGGUGGUACCAGAACUGGACUUGGUUGAAUUUGAGGCCUUUGAGGUGGAAUUGAGCUUCUUGAGCUGUUUCGUGGCAGAGAUAGUGGGUGUCGUUUUCGUGGAGUUUGAGGAUUUUGCCGUGGAAUUGAGCUUCUUUAUCUGGGCUUUGUUGAGGAUAGUGGGUGUCGUUUUGGUCGAGUAAGUGGAGGGUUUGACGAGUUUGGUUUGGUUCUUGCUGGAAGAGGUCCCAUCGAGCUUCUUCUUUGGUUGAUCUUCUUUCUGUACCUCUUUGACGAGUUUGGUCUGGUUCUUGGUGGACAAGCUAGUGCUGGGUGUCUUCUUGGGCUGCUCUUCUUUCUCAAUCUCAAACACUCUCCUCCUCCCAAGAAACUGUGUUCUCCGAGGUUGGGCCUCGGAGCAGGCACAAACAAGAGUAGAAGCAAAGAGAAAUAAAACAAGAUAGAGCACAAGUACCUGUCUGAAACUGAAGUACCGAAGUGGAGCCAUG